This 969-nucleotide ribosomal RNA is filed under the name human gut metagenome. Its description in RNAcentral is "bacterial SSU rRNA". It matches the Rfam family "Bacterial small subunit ribosomal RNA", at positions 351 to 1331 of the family's 1533-position model. The record is from RNAcentral.
GCAGUGGGGAAUAUUGCACAAUGGGCGCAAGCCUGAUGCAGCGACGCCGCGUGAGGGAUGGAGGCCUUCGGGUUGUAAACCUCUUUUAUCGGGGAGCAAGCGAGAGUGAGUUUACCCGUUGAAUAAGCACCGGCUAACUACGUGCCAGCAGCCGCGGUAAUACGUAGGGUGCAAGCGUUAUCCGGAAUUAUUGGGCGUAAAGGGCUCGUAGGCGGUUCGUCGCGUCCGGUGUGAAAGUCCAUCGCUUAACGGUGGAUCCGCGCCGGGUACGGGCGGGCUUGAGUGCGGUAGGGGAGACUGGAAUUCCCGGUGUAACGGUGGAAUGUGUAGAUAUCGGGAAGAACACCAAUGGCGAAGGCAGGUCUCUGGGCCGUUACUGACGCUGAGGAGCGAAAGCGUGGGGAGCGAACAGGAUUAGAUACCCUGGUAGUCCACGCCGUAAACGGUGGAUGCUGGAUGUGGGGCCCGUUCCACGGGUUCCGUGUCGGAGCUAACGCGUUAAGCAUCCCGCCUGGGGAGUACGGCCGCAAGGCUAAAACUCAAAGAAAUUGACGGGGGCCCGCACAAGCGGCGGAGCAUGCGGAUUAAUUCGAUGCAACGCGAAGAACCUUACCUGGGCUUGACAUGUUCCCGACGGUCGUAGAGAUACGGCUUCCCUUCGGGGCGGGUUCACAGGUGGUGCAUGGUCGUCGUCAGCUCGUGUCGUGAGAUGUUGGGUUAAGUCCCGCAACGAGCGCAACCCUCGCCCCGUGUUGCCAGCGGAUUAUGCCGGGAACUCACGGGGGACCGCCGGGGUUAACUCGGAGGAAGGUGGGGAUGACGUCAGAUCAUCAUGCCCCUUACGUCCAGGGCUUCACGCAUGCUACAAUGGCCGGUACAACGGGAUGCGACGCGGCGACGCGGAGCGGAUCCCUGAAAACCGGUCUCAGUUCGGAUCGCAGUCUGCAACUCGACUGCGUGAAGCUGGAA